This 346-nucleotide ribosomal RNA is filed under the name uncultured eukaryote. Its description in RNAcentral is "SSU rRNA". It matches the Rfam family "Eukaryotic small subunit ribosomal RNA", at positions 594 to 945 of the family's 1831-position model. The record is from RNAcentral.
AUAGCGUAUAUUAAAGUUGUUGCAGUUAAAAAGCUCGUAGUUGAACUUCGGACCUGGCCGGACGGUCUGCCUAACGGUAUGUACUGUCUGGCUGGGCCUUACCUCUUGGUGAGCCGGCAUGCCCUUCACUGGGUGUGUUGGGGAACCAGGACUUUUACCUUGAGAAAAUUAGAGUGUUCAAAGCAGGCUUAUGCUCGAAUACAUUAGCAUGGAAUAAUAAAAUAGGACGUGCGGUUCUAUUUUGUUGGUUUCUAGAGUCGCCGUAAUGAUUAAUAGGGAUAGUUGGGGGCAUUAGUAUUCAGUUGCUAGAGGUGAAAUUCUUGGAUUUACUGAAGACUAACUACUG